GACGAACGCUGGCGGCGUGCUUAACACAUGCAAGUCGAACGGGGAAGCGAGUCCUUGCACUCGUUGAUCAGUGGCGAACGGGUGAGUAACACGUGAGUAACCUGCCCAUCACUCUGGGAUAAGCACUGGAAACGGUGUCUAAUACUGGAUACGACCAACCCUUGCAUGGGGUGUUGGGGGAAAGAUUUUGCGGUGAUGGAUGGACUCGCGGCCUAUCAGCUUGUUGGUGGGGUAAUGGCCCACCAAGGCGACGACGGGUAGCCGGCCUGAGAGGGUGACCGGCCACACUGGGACUGAGACACGGCCCAGACUCCUACGGGAGGCAGCAGUGGGGAAUAUUGCACAAUGGGCGAAAGCCUGAUGCAGCGACGCCGCGUGAGGGAUGACGGCCUUCGGGUUGUAAACCUCUUUCAGCAGGGAAGAAGCGAAAGUGACGGUACCUGCAGAAGAAGCACCGGCUAACUACGUG
Molecule: ribosomal RNA, 469 nt
Filed under: uncultured bacterium
Lineage: Bacteria
Description: partial 16S ribosomal RNA
Rfam family: Bacterial small subunit ribosomal RNA
Source: RNAcentral